Molecule: ribosomal RNA, 304 nt
Filed under: uncultured bacterium
Lineage: Bacteria
Description: partial 16S ribosomal RNA
Rfam family: Bacterial small subunit ribosomal RNA
Source: RNAcentral
CAGCAGCAGCCGCGGGAAUACGUAGGGUGCGAGCGUUGUCCGGAUUUAUUGGGCGUAAAGGGCUCGUAGGUGGUUGAUCGCGUCGGAAGUGUAAUCUUGGGGCUUAACCCUGAGCGUGCUUUCGAUACGGGUUGACUUGAGGAAGGUAGGGGAGAAUGGAGUUCCUGGUGGAGCGGUGGAAUGCGCAGAUAUCAGGAGGAACACCAGUGGCGAAGGCGGUUCUCUGGGCCUUUACUGACGCUGAGGAGCGAAAGCGUGGGGAGCGAACAGGCUUAGAUACCCGCGUAGUCCCUGUCUCUUAUAC